GAUGAAGAACGCAGCGAAAUGCGAUAAGUAAUGCGAAUUGCAGAAUUCAGUGAGUCAUCGAAUCUUUGAACGCACAUUGCGCCCUGUGGUAUUCCGCAGGGCAUGCCUGUUCGAGCGUCAUUUCAACCCUCAAGCUCUGCUUGGUGUUGGGCCCUGCCCGCUGCGGCCGGCCCUAAAGACAGUGGCGGUGCCGCCUGGCCCUGAGCGUAGUACAUCUCUCGCUCCAGUGCCCGGUGGUAGCAUGCCAGAACCCCAACUCUCGUGGUUGACAUCGGAUCAGGUAGGGAUACCCGCUGAACUUAAGCAUAUCAAUAAGCGGAGGA
This 323-nucleotide unclassified non-coding RNA is filed under the name soil metagenome. RNAcentral's name for it is "partial contains 5.8S ribosomal RNA, internal transcribed spacer 2, and large subunit ribosomal RNA". The stretch from base 1 to 120 matches the Rfam family "5.8S ribosomal RNA", at positions 35 to 154 of the family's 154-position model. The record is from RNAcentral.